GGGGGGUGCGAGCGUUGUCCGGAAUCACUGGGCGUAAAGGGCGCGUAGGUGGCGUGAUAAGGGUGUGGUGAAAGCCCGGGGCUCAACCCCGGGUCGGCCAUGCCGACUGUCAGGCUAGAGUGCUGUAGGGGCAGGCGGAAUUCCGGGUGUAGCGGUGGAAUGCGUAGAGAUCCGGAGGAAGACCGGUGGCGAAGGCGGCCUGCUGGGCAGUUACUGACACUGAGGCGCGACAGCGUGGGGAGCAAACAGGAUUAGAUACCCUGGUAGUCCACGCCGUAAACGAUGGGUACUAGGUGCCUGGGGGAGCGACCCCUUGGGUGCCGGCGCUAACGCAGGAAGUACCCCGCCUGGGGAGUACGGCCGCAAGGCUG
RNAcentral lists this ribosomal RNA (371 nucleotides) under uncultured bacterium. RNAcentral describes it as "bacterial SSU rRNA". It matches the Rfam family "Bacterial small subunit ribosomal RNA", at positions 527 to 896 of the family's 1533-position model. The record is from RNAcentral.